This 343-nucleotide unclassified non-coding RNA is filed under the name soil metagenome. Its description in RNAcentral is "partial contains 5.8S ribosomal RNA, internal transcribed spacer 2, and large subunit ribosomal RNA". The stretch from base 1 to 120 matches the Rfam family "5.8S ribosomal RNA", at positions 35 to 154 of the family's 154-position model. The record is from RNAcentral.
GAUGAAGAACGCAGCGAAAUGCGAUAAGUAAUGUGAAUUGCAGAAUUCAGUGAAUCAUCGAAUCUUUGAACGCACAUUGCGCCCGCUAGUAUUCUGGCGGGCAUGCCUGUCCGAGCGUCAUUUCAACCCUCAAGCCCCCGGGCUUGGUGUUGGGGAUCGGCGAGCCUCCGCGCCCGCCGUCCCCUUAAUCUAGUGGCGGUCUCGCUGUAGCUUCCUCUGCGUAGUAGCACACCUCGCACUGGGAAACAGCGCGGCCACGCCGUUAAACCCCCAACUUCUGAACGUUUGACCUCGGAUCAGGUAGGAAUACCCGCUGAACUUAAGCAUAUCAAUAAGCGGAGGA